CAAAUCAGGUAGGACUACCCGCUGAACUUAAGCAUAUCAAUAAGCGGANGAAG
RNAcentral lists this ribosomal RNA (53 nucleotides) under Battarrea stevenii. RNAcentral's name for it is "partial 28S ribosomal RNA". The record is from RNAcentral. Lineage: Eukaryota; Fungi; Basidiomycota; Agaricomycetes; Agaricales; Agaricaceae.